GCGCAAUGGGCGGAAGCCUGACGCAGCGACGCCGCGUGGGGGAUGACGGCCUUCGGGUUGUAAACCUCUUUCGCCAGGGACGAAGAGCAAUUGACGGUACCUGGAGAAGAAGCACCGGCCAACUACGUGCCAGCAGCCGCGGUAACACGUAGGGUGCGAGCGUUGUCCGGAAUUAUUGGGCGUAAAGAGCUCGUAGGCGGUGUGUCGCGUCGGCCGUGAAAACUUGGGGCUUAACUCUGAGCGUGCGGUCGAUACGGGCAUCACUUGAGUUCGGCAGGGGAGACUGGAAUUCCUGGUGUAGCGGUGAAAUGCGCAGAUAUCAGGAGGAACACCGGUGGCGAAGGCGGGUCUCUGGGCCGAUACUGACGCUGAGGAGCGAAAGCGUGGGGAGCGAACAGGAUUAGAUACCCUGGUAGUCCACGCCGUAAACGUUGGGCGCUAGGUGUGGGGACCAUUCCACGGUUUCUGUGCCGCAGCUAACGCAUUAAGCGCCCCGCCUGGGGAGUACGGCCGCAAGGCU
This 520-nucleotide ribosomal RNA is filed under the name uncultured bacterium. Its description in RNAcentral is "bacterial SSU rRNA". It matches the Rfam family "Bacterial small subunit ribosomal RNA", at positions 366 to 895 of the family's 1533-position model. The record is from RNAcentral.